UAGAAACGUUCCGGCGCUGUAGGAUGUGGCUGCGGCCGAUUAGGUAGAUGGUGGGGUAACGGCCCACCAUGCCGAUAAUCGGUACGGGUUGUGAGAGCAAGAACCCGGAGACGGUAUCUGAGACAAGAUACCGGGCCCUACGGGGCGCAGCAGGCGCGAAACCUUUACACUGCACGACAGUGCGAUAGGGGGACUCCAAGUGUGAGGGCAUAUAGCCCUCGCUUUUCUGUACCGUAAGGUGGUACAGGAACAAGGACUGGGCAAGACCGGUGCCAGCCGCCGCGGUAAUACCGGCAGUCCAAGUGAUGGCCGAUAUUAUUGGGCCUAAAGCGUCCGUAGCUACUUUCC
This 348-nucleotide ribosomal RNA is filed under the name uncultured archaeon. RNAcentral describes it as "bacterial SSU rRNA". It matches the Rfam family "Archaeal small subunit ribosomal RNA", at positions 186 to 533 of the family's 1478-position model. The record is from RNAcentral.